Molecule: long non-coding RNA, 369 nt
Organism: Oreochromis aureus
Lineage: Eukaryota; Metazoa; Chordata; Actinopteri; Cichliformes; Cichlidae
Exons: 3
Source: RefSeq, a predicted model, not a curated record
UUGUAAUAUUCUGGUUAUAUUACAAACUUAAAGCAAGUUGCUAAGCGCCUAUGUUAUUUUACCCUUAAAUCACCAUCCUGCAGAAACUACAUUGUUCUUUGUGGAGGAAUUUCUGUUUCAAAUCUGUGGCUCGAACAGGCUGCCUCUGAGGAAGCCUGAGGCUCAUAUAGUUCUCCACCAAUCACAGAGUUAUUGCAGCCUGACAGGCGAAACCCAGGGCAAAAAGAUAACAAAGCCGCGCCUGUUGCUUAUGAUUCUUGCUGCUGUAAAAGCUGCAACAUAAUAACCAUAGAGUGCCUGACCUUCCUCAGCAAAAUGACACCCUCCUGUGUGCUCCUGUUGGUGGUGAUCUCAAACAUCCCAGGCCCA